AUCGCAUCAGCAACAGAAUAUUUGGUCUGUCCAGAUACACAAGCCUCCAUAUCUUCCGGACUUAGCUGAGUCUGUAAGAAGAGUGCCAUCUGGAGGUGAAAUGAAUGAAGAGAAACCAAGGAGAAGAGAGAGAAAGAAGUUCAUUAAGUUAAUCGCGUUCCUGCUAUGGACCUAAUUCUCACCCUACCAUGUUCCGCCUAAAGAGGCUGCACAGAGGCCUUACCCCAUGCUAAUUCUGGAGCGAUAUAUGAAGGAGGACAAGAGAACUCUACGGCUAUCCACACAGAGGUGAUAUGGAGGUGCUCUCAAGGUAUCAUUUCUUAACAAUGCAAUGGAUUGCUUGGAGAUAAGGACAAGCCAGAAGUUUUAUUAUACAGAAUGACUACAAAAACUGUGUUUCUGAGAAGUUUAUUUUUAACAUUCUUCUACUAGGAAAAUAAGAAAUCUUACAUGGAAACAUAUAUUUUUAAUAUAGGAAAAAUCUACCAUGAGAAGGAGGGAAAAAAAUAUUCUUGCACUGGAUGACUAUUUGCUUCAUCCAUUCCAGCUGUGUUUUAAUUCAAAUCUCCAUGGUCAGGACUGCAUCAGGUGAUAAACUCAUGCUCCAUGGUGCCACUGUUACACAUUAGAUUAGUCAAUAACCCCAAGAGAGUCAUUUUCCACAAAGUGUCCUUAAAAAAGCAGAAUUUCCCAUCAGGCUGCCUGUUAGUAAAAGGAUCAAUCACAAAUGACAAGGGGGCUCUUUAUGUUGGGUAUAUGGGAAAUCUGUACUCCAUGCAUGAAGAACAGUAAGGCUGGUAAGAGAUUAACAGCUGAAGAUAAAAUUGAUAAAGUUUUUCAUGUUCAUUGAGACUGAGCAAAAAAAA
Molecule: non-coding RNA, 866 nt
Organism: Struthio camelus australis
Lineage: Eukaryota; Metazoa; Chordata; Aves; Struthioniformes; Struthionidae
Source: RefSeq, a predicted model, not a curated record